This 587-nucleotide small RNA is filed under the name Pan troglodytes (chimpanzee). Its description in RNAcentral is "retained intron". The record is from RNAcentral. Lineage: Eukaryota; Metazoa; Chordata; Mammalia; Primates; Hominidae.
CUGCGCCCCGCGCCCAGGCCGGGCCGAGCCGAGCCGGGUCGGGCCCGGGCCAUGCUGCUCACCGUGUACUGUGUGCGGAGGGACCUCUCCGAGGUGACCUUUUCCCUCCAGGUCGACGCCGACUUCGAGCUGCACAACUUCCGCGCGCUGUGCGAGCUCGAGUCUGGCAUCCCCGCAGCCGAGAGCCAGAUCGUCUAUGCGGAAAGACCUCUCACAGACAACCACAGAUCAUUGGCUUCUUAUGGCUUGAAAGAUGGGGACGUUGUGAUUUUACGACAGAAGGAGAAUGCAGACCCUCGACCUCCAGUGCAGUUCCCAAGUAAGACAUCUGGUGGUUGAGCAUCCCCCAGCACAACCAUCAGCAGGUAGCAGAGCAUAGCGCCUCAGAGUUUUGGAUUCGCUUUGGAUUCAGACUACAGAAUACAGAUCCUGACUCUGCCUUUUCCCUGCCAUGUAACCUUGAACAAGUAUUUUAACAUCUCUAAAUUGGUUUCCUCUUCUAUAAGUUAGGUGCCAUAAUUAACCCCAACUCCUAAAGCUGACGUGAGGCUAAUGCAUGUAAAAUCUUAGCACACAGCAAGCCCUCA